This 65-nucleotide transfer RNA is filed under the name Trigomphus carus. RNAcentral describes it as "tRNA-Thr". It matches the Rfam family "tRNA". From Rfam's summary of the family: Transfer RNA (tRNA) molecules are approximately 80 nucleotides in length. The record is from RNAcentral. Lineage: Eukaryota; Metazoa; Arthropoda; Insecta; Odonata; Gomphidae.
GUUUCAGUAGUUUAUUCAAAACAUUGGUCUUGUAAACCAAAAUAGAGAAAAUUUCUCCUCAGACU